Long non-coding RNA from Brassica napus (rape), 3521 nucleotides. RefSeq lists it as uncharacterized. NCBI's taxonomy places the organism in Eukaryota, Viridiplantae, Streptophyta, Magnoliopsida, Brassicales, Brassicaceae. The transcript has 8 exons. The record is from RefSeq and is a predicted model, not a curated record.
ACUGACCUUGCAAUCACCACCCGAUCUUUCCCCGUGUAUUGGCCUUACUCGCACGGUAUCGUGAAUUACUUCCCGAUAAGUCACACAUUUUUUCACUACUCCAGCUCAAGCAUGAUUAACUUUAAAAUUCUAAACAGACAUGUAACGGAAAAAAUAAGUCAACUUUGGUGACAUAGGUAGUCAAAUCAAUCUUUUAAAGCUUUUUCAUAUAUCACAACUUGAUAUGUUACAAAAUCACGCAUGCAUAAAAUAUCUAUCUAUACUAAUAAAGUAGGGGGUAUUCUCCCUUCUCAUGCUGCCACAUCGCAAUGUGUUUAGGGUAUUUUGUGACACCUGUCCCACUUUUAUUUUUGAUGUCUCGACCUAUGAUUUUGUAUUAAAUCGCAGUAGGCCUGCAUAUUAUUUUAGUUAGCCUCAUUACAAAGACUUCGUAACUGUUUAUACAUUCAAAUUUUAGUGUCGAGGCCCAAUAAGUUAUCUCUACUCACAUUCUUUUUAUCGUUUCUUGUCGUCUCGAAUACGCUUGAGGCCACCCAUAUGCGAAACCGCCAACGUUACGGUUCUAAGUUAUAUUAACGGAUGAUGAACGGAUUUCGGAUUGUUGUUGUGGGUUUGGUGUUGAUGUCAUCAUGACUUCAUAGUCUUGCAGAAAUGGUACUGAGCGGUGAAACGAAGCACUAGAAAAGCUGGAGAAGAAGUAUGAUCUGGUCGUUAACAUUCAAGGAGAUGAACCACUCAUUGAGCCUGAGAUUAUUGACGGUGUUGUCAAAGCACUUCAGGUAGCACCUGAUGCAGUGUUUAGCACAGCGGCAACAUCAUUAUAAAACCAGAAGACCGAGAUGAUCCUAACCGAGUCUAAUGUGUGGUGAAAAAUUGUGCCUACACUAUCUAUUUCUCCAGGGGUUUGAUUCCUUAUAACAAGGUUUUGGGUUCAACGUGCUCACCGUCAGACCCGCAACGGCUUGAGAAAUAUGUUUAAGAUCGAGAUAGGAAAGUAGAUUUCCUCUCAGUCUCAGCUACAACAUCUAACUGGAUGGAGUUUUUUGUUUCACAUUUUCUCUAUCUCAUGCCAUUCGCGAAGGGAGUAGAUGGCAUGUAUAAUCUUUCCCGGAAAAUGUGUUCCGUCAGGCCACGCUUCCCAUGAGGUCAAAAUGGAUUUUAAUCCCAACCAGAGGUGUAACUAUUUCAUCUUUCUUUCACCCUAACUCGGCUUGGUUACUUAGGCUUAGAGGGUGGUCCUUAUUUCUCGCGUAAAAACGAUCCUGGACCAUUCAGCCUUUCUCAACCAAGUAUCCCCUUCCCUUAUUAAAGAAAGUCGAUAAUGAAAUGAGGCAGGUUGUUCUAGCAGUGUGUUCCAAAGAUUUUGGCUCUUUGUAGGCAAGACGGUCUUUGUUUUUUGUUACUAAAUCCAUGUAGAAUGCUAAAUUGUUUAAUGGAUCAGGAUGGUACUCUUUUGUGUUUAUUGAUAGGAUGGUAGCACAUGCGAUGGAGUUAUGGACAGCUGUAAGCGAUGAAGGAGAAGUUCUUGCACAUGAGGAGCAGCAAAUUUUGGGUGGAAUCAACAUGGAAGAUCUCCAUAGACUUGACUAUGCUCAAGUCUUUCUUUUAAUGCUCUGACUCUGAAGAUCUCAUGAAUGCAUAACUGGAAACAUGGGGAAAAGGGUCGGGGAGUUUUUGGCUUCAGUAAGUCUAGGAUCAGCGCUGCUCAAAGUGAUUGCUCAACAGCUGCUUGAUUCUGUUGGAAAGCGAUUGUCUAAUAAAAUUCUCAUGGUCUAUAUAUAUUCUCCAAGCCAUAUUUUUGAAACAUAUUUCAUUAUGUACAUCCCUUUUCAUACUUUGACAUUGUCUAAUGGAAAGGCCUGGUGGAGCUGUUGGGUUCGGAAUCACAGAUAUCUGGUGGUCUUGAUUUUCUUCAUAAAUAUUAAUCAUUUAUAUCUUCUGUUUUCUUUGCUAAUGAUUUUGGUUCUAUAAAUACAUGUCCUGAAAUCAGAGCCCAAAACUAUUGCCCAAAACAAAUGUUAAUAGCGCAUAAUAUGCAAAUGUUAAUUUGUCAACUCUAUUACAUAAGUGAUGUUGGUAACACUGUAAUGAAAUCAACACAAUAAUAAGGCUAGGUUCUCUCCAGCAGUUGACACCUAAGCUUUUAAAAUCACUAAGAAACUGCCAUGUCAAUAAAUGAAAAAAGUUAGAGAAACCAAUGAAAACAUUUUAUUUGUACAUAUCACAUUUAAUAUCGACAGAUAAGCAUGUAAGCUCGAGAAUCUUCUUCAUCCUCUCCAAAUCCAGCGACCAUCGUUCUCAUAAAGUUUUGAUCUUUAUCUGAAGUAAGAUUUAAUCGAAAGGACAAAGCAUAGGGAUCCUACGACGAAGGAUUAAUCAGAAAGGGGAAGAAAUAAGACGAUUAGAACCAAGAACAUAGUCGGAAAUGCAUUGAUUUGAUGGGGUGAAGAAAGGGAUACAUGUAAUAUUAUUAUUAACUAUCUCUCUCACACUCUUGAUGAUGCAACGGAUCUGAAAUUAGAAAUCUUUGAAUCUUCCAUCUUGCAUCAGAAUGCAUAAACGCCAAGAUCUAAGAUUUGUUGAUUUUGAAAGAAUUUGGGAAGAUAAUGAAGCAGAUGAUACAAAGGAGAGAGAGAUGAUGACGCCUGUGUAAGAGAUGAUUCCGGAGGAGAUGAGUCCUAAUAUAAUAAUCACCCAGUCUCCUCAAGAGCUUCACUAUUCAUUUCAACAUUUGCUUGUUCUGUGAUUGAGCCUCUCGGCAGAAAAUCGUAGGUGAAAAAAAAUGGAAAAGGAGCGAAGAUGAUCAAGUGUCCAAAAAGACGAGUCAUGUCUUUUAAGGUUAUCAAGAGUGUUAGCUGAGGUUGAACAUAAAUUUGGAUGUUCUGCUCCCUUUUUUCUUGGGAUAUCUCAGAACAGCCUUGCAUCUUUCUAUUUUAUUCUUUGUGUGAAUGUUUGCAGAGAGGAAGAGAAGAUAGCAGCUUGGAAACAUAUGCACAAGGUUUGGGACAGUUGUGAGGAUGAAAGUAGAACCUGCCAUUAGAAAACUCGGGGUCCUCCGAUCCUUCACUUAUAUGAAAACUCACAAAAACCAAUCAAACCAUGAUGCUUCUAUUGAAAUUUCUUUUUGCUUGAAUCGCAUGUGAAGCUGGAGAAAAAGAAAUGAGCAUCACUGGAAAAGAUCUUGUACAAGCUUCAAACAACCAAGUUGAAAGCAUAAGAGAUCAGGAGUUCAGUAUUCAGUGAUCAUGAACAAGAAAAAAAAGUUUUGACUAUAGAUCCCUGCAAUAAAACAGUAGCGCAACCGCUGUUGAAAAAACUUUCGACGAAUCAGCUGUUCUUGCCGCAAAGUAUCAAUACCACCAAAGGUCUUCAGGGUAAGUCUGUGCGAGAGUUUGUGAGCUUCAGAGGUGAAAGCAUCAAUGGAGAGAAAGCUUUUUAUAUUUAUCGUGUAUCCUUUAUCACAAUGCUUAUACAUUAUGUUUUCUUCCAUCUCAAUAGCGACAACCCAAAAAGUUGAGAUA